This 758-nucleotide ribosomal RNA is filed under the name uncultured bacterium. RNAcentral describes it as "bacterial SSU rRNA". It matches the Rfam family "Bacterial small subunit ribosomal RNA", at positions 9 to 745 of the family's 1533-position model. The record is from RNAcentral.
GAGUUUGAUCCUGGCUCAGAACGAACGCUGGCGGCGUGCCUAACACAUGCAAGUCCAACGUGAAAGGGGAGCAAUCCCCCGGUAGAGUGGCAAACGGGUGAGUAAUACAUGGGUGAUCUACCUUAGGGAUGGGGAUACCCUUCCGAAAGGAGGGGCAAUACCGAAUAUUGUCCGGAGCCGUGAAGGGUUCCGGGGAAAGGGAGGCCUCUGAUACAAGCUUUCGCCUUAAGAUGAGCCCAUGGCCCAUCAGCUAGUUGGUAGGGUAAAGGCCCACCAAGGCUACGACGGGUCGCUGGUCUGAGAGGACGACCAGCCACACUGGCACUGAGAUACGGGCCAGACUCCUACGGGAGGCAGCAGUGAGGAAUAUUGCGCAAUGGGGGAAACCCUGACGCAGCAACGCCGCGUGUGGGAAGAAGGCCUUCGGGUCGUAAACCACUUUUGCACGGGACGAAAAAGGGAUAUCGAACAAAUAUCCCCGAUGACGGUACCGUGAGAAUAAGCCACGGCUAACUCUGUGCCAGCAGCCGCGGUAAGACAGAGGUGGCAAGCGUUGUUCGGAAUUACUGGGCGUAAAGAGUCUGUAGGUGGUUUGUCAAGUCUUUGGUGAAAGGCCGUAGCUUAACUAUGGGAAUGCCAAAGAGACUGGCAGGCUGGAGGCUGGGAGAGGGAAGCGGAAUUUCUGGUGUAGCGGUGAAAUGCGUAGAUAUCAAAAGGAAGGCCGGUGGCGAAGGCGGCUUCCUGGAACAGUCCUGACA